CGGAAUAAUAAGCAGCCGUUGCAUAAGGCAUACUCAAUGGCUCCCCCAUUAACCAUUUCGCGAGUAUAAGAAGACCGUGUUUUCACCAAUCGGUACCCAGCAGCUUCUACAAGUUCAACGGAACACUAUUGAGAAAAAAAAAAAUAACCAAAAUGUCACGAGUUAUUUUACUUCUAUCAAUAAUUUUAUUCAUUGGCUGCUUCUUUGCUGAUGCAAACGAAUCAUGUGCAGGCCAUUGGUGUGCUUGGAACUCUCCUUGUGGCUGUAAUUAUUACGCUUGUAACGCUUUUACGAACGGCAGGUGCGUAUAUGAUAAUGAUGAUAUAGGAAGGAAGUAAACCCGAUUUUCUCUAAAAGUGAAGUUUUAGAAAUUUCCUGUCAGAAGUAUACUACAAAUUUCAAAUUGUAGAUUUUUGUGACGAAAAAUGGCACCUUAUGAAUAUUGUAAUAUUGGUCUUAUUCAAUACUAAUAAUUAUGAUAAUAAUAAUAAAAA
Long non-coding RNA from Microplitis mediator, 494 nucleotides. RefSeq lists it as uncharacterized. The transcript is spliced from 3 exons. The record is from RefSeq and is a predicted model, not a curated record. Lineage: Eukaryota; Metazoa; Arthropoda; Insecta; Hymenoptera; Braconidae.